This is a long non-coding RNA of Sapajus apella (tufted capuchin), 784 nucleotides long. RefSeq lists it as uncharacterized. The record is from RefSeq and is a predicted model, not a curated record. The transcript is spliced from 2 exons. NCBI's taxonomy places the organism in Eukaryota, Metazoa, Chordata, Mammalia, Primates, Cebidae.
ACUCGAUAUAUUUGUCUACAGGUUUCUGGCAGGAUUUCUGAAAUAAUGCAAGAUGAUAUUAGAACAAGCAAAUGUAUACUUUCUGAAAUCCUCAAGGAUUUCAAAACAGCAGUCUAUUUUGGACACAUAUAACAAUAUGGCCUUAUUAACAAUUAUUUAUAUAAACGUCCACUCAGAUACAAAAUGUUCAUCUAUAUAAGAAGUGGUUUCAGAAAGGACCAAAUAUAAUCUUCUAGCGUAGGAAUAUUAAUAUUUUAACCUUAGGUUCAAGAAGCUAAAAAUAUAUCUAAUUUAAAGACUGAGUUUAGGCAGGAAAGUAUUCCAGAAGAUUUUACUUUCAAUAAAAUCUCUGUAGAGACUCUAUAUGCAAUUCUACUUUCAAUUUGUAGAAAUUAUUAUAAAAUAAAUACAUUUAUAAUGCACUGUCAUUGAUAAAUUGUUGCCUCUUGGCUAGAUGGCCCCGACUUUAUGGUUCUUGGCACAUGAUUUGGAGAAAAGUAUUCAGCAAAGUCACCUUGUCCCCAGAACUAUUGAGAGCUCCAAGUAGGCACUCACUGUGAGUCUGGAAUGUAUCCCCCAAAGAUAAGGGGGACUACUGGAAUGGCUCCAAUUCAAAUACGCAACAUUUGGAAACUUUGAGAAGAUAAAAUAGAAGAGUGAUGAGUGUAAAAACAUUCUAGGCUGUCCUUUUAAUUAAAGUGAUGGAAGAAAAAUGAAGUGCACUGAAGAAUAUUAACCCUGCAAUUCAAAUGUAAUAAAACAUUGGAUGUGUUCCCAAUUUAAA